CCUACGGGAGACAGCAGUGAGGAAUAUUGGUCAAUGGGCGGGAGCCUGAACCAGCCAAGCCGCGUGAGGGAAGAAGGUACAGCGUAUCGUAAACCUCUUUUGUCAGGGAACAAAGGCGGGGACUAGUCCCCGGAUGCGGGUACCUGAAGAAAAAGCAUCGGCUAACUCCGUGCCAGCAGCCGCGGUAAUACGGAGGAUGCGAGCGUUAUCCGGAUUUAUUGGGUUUAAAGGGUGCGCAGGCGGCCUGUUAAGUCAGCGGUAAAAGCCCGGGGCUCAACCCCGGCGAGCCGUUGAAACUGGCGGGCUGGAGUUGGAGAGAAGUACGCGGAAUGCGCGGUGUAGCGGUGAAAUGCUUAGAUAUCGCGCAGAACCCCGAUUGCGAAGGCAGCGUACCGGCUCCACACUGACGCUGAGGCACGAAAGCGUGGGUAUCGAACAGGAUUAGAUACCCCAGUAGUC
Molecule: ribosomal RNA, 459 nt
Filed under: uncultured bacterium
Lineage: Bacteria
Description: partial 16S ribosomal RNA
Rfam family: Bacterial small subunit ribosomal RNA
Source: RNAcentral